UACGAAGGGUGCAAGCGUUAAUCGGAAUUAUUGGGCGUAAAGAGCGCGCAGGUGGUUGAUUAAGUCUGAUGUGAAAGCCCACGGCUUAACCGUGGAGGGUCAUUGGAAACUGGUCGACUUGAGUGCAGAAGAGGGAAGUGGAAUUCCAUGUGUAGCGGUGAAAUGCGUAGAGAUAUGGAGGAACACCAGUGGCGAAGGCGGCUUCCUGGUCUGUAACUGACACUGAGGCGCGAAAGCGUGGGGAGCAAACAGGAUUAGAUA
RNAcentral lists this ribosomal RNA (261 nucleotides) under uncultured prokaryote. Its description in RNAcentral is "partial 16S ribosomal RNA". It matches the Rfam family "Bacterial small subunit ribosomal RNA", at positions 524 to 784 of the family's 1533-position model. The record is from RNAcentral.